GAGCAUGAACAUCGACGCAGAUAGUUUACAUGGAGGCAAGGUGACGACACGGAUCGAUAGGAACGCUCGGUUUCCUUGUUUUAUUUCCAGCUGAGGUUACAGAGGUUAUCAUUUCCAUUUCCAAGAUGAUGAGUGAAAGACUUCAACGUCCGAUGAGCGCGGCAUCUGACGCCCUUUCCUACAUGACCGAAGGUGGUCUUAGUGAUCAUGGGAGUCAACGAAAGACCGGGCCGUACUUGGAGGGAAAUAUGAAAUUGCUGGACACAAUCGAGUGCCCGAUUGACAUCAUGUGCUGUCGGUUCAGUGCAGACGGUGCUCACCUUGCUGUUGGACUUUGCGACGGAUCAAUAAAAAUCUACAGUCCAGGGACCGGGCAGAUGCUGUACAGCCUCACUGAUGAAGAUACCCAGUGUCACCGUCUCCCCGUCACACAGCUCCGCUUCCGCCCAUAUACCAGCCUUGACAAACCAGAGUACACCCACAUCCUCAUUGCUUCAUAUGCUUCCGGUCACGUCAAGUUCUGGCACUACACCUCCGGUAAGUGUCUUCACACCAUCAACGAGAUCCGCCAGGUCUUGGCUCUGGCCCUCAACCCCGACGGAACGCACUUCCUCACUGCUGGAGCCGACCCGGAAAUACACCUGUAUGAUAUCGAGACAAAGAAGCGGAAGAAAACGUUUGAACCCAGUGAUGCUCGAGACAUUAUGGAUGGUCAUCGGUUCCGUGUAUUUGCUGCCCAGUUCAACCCCAACCAUCCGGACCUGUUUAUCACCGGUGGAUGGGACGAUACCGUGCAGUACUGGGAUGUGAGAGUUCAACAUGGACAUGCCGUCAAGAAGUUCUGUGGGCCUCACAUCUGUGGCGACGCCCUUGACAUCGACCCACUACACAACCACAUCCUCACCGGCAGCUGGAGGAAGCACUCAGUCCUACAGAUCUGGGAUUUCUCCCUGGCAGCUAAGAUCAAGGAUGUUCCGCAGGACACCCUCAACUCUAGUCAGCUGUACUGUGCCCAGUGGCUAGGCAAGGACAGCAUCAUCUGUGGAGGCACAGACCAAAACAUGGCCAGGAUCAUAGACAGAGGAACACUCAAUACCACCGGUCAGCUUGUGGACCUACCUCAGGGGGUUUACUGCAUCGACAAUGACCGCCAGAGCAGCUACCCACGCAUCGCCAUCGGCAGCAGUCGCUACAUCUUCCUCGUCCGCAGCGACAAGAAAAGUCACUACAGAGGGGACUGAUUACUCCACAACAUGACAAACUUGAAGAGCCUCUCAGUCUGUGAUCAGAAUUAUUUUCAUGGAACUAGUUGAACCAGAACAGAUGACUUUUAUUUAGGCUAGAUAUCACCCCUGCCCUAGUGAUAGUCUGACACUAAUGGAUGUCUGCUGUGUGCGAUGUGGUCACUGUGAAGCUCCCGGUGUUCUCCUGACCCAGUAUAAGUCAAGCUGUGGCUGACAUGAAGCCAAGACUCAUUGACUGAAGUUGAAGGUACAAAGAUACUGUGAUUAAAUCAACAAAACAGUCAGUCCCAUUUUACGACAUGAGACAUGAGACUUUAUUUUCGGUACUUGGAGUGUAGAUGCAAAUGCAAAUCGACUUGACACUUGUUUUCAGAUUUAACAAACAAAUAGAAGUUAAGUACACCAGAAACUUAGACAGAAGCAUCUCACUGGCUGGCUACACUGGCUGGCUGCAAUGUUUGCCCCAAAACACCUUUUAGAAUAAUCUUGUCACUGUGUGAGUCAUGAUGGUUCUAACUGGUCCAACAGACAUUUCUAAAUAAGUUCUGAUUCAUUGUGUAUUUUGUUUGAACUUAAUAUCACCCAGACAAAAUGUGAUUUAGAUUAGUAGUUGUGUUAUAGUUUGUUCCAAUUCACCAUGUUCACUGUGUAGUUAUGUAGUUAUGAAUAUACUGUAACUACAAUAAAAUGGCAUUGGACCCUCUCACUCACUCACUCAUGAACCAAGUGAACCAAAGUACAGUAAGUACUGUAGCUAGAUACGUGUAUUGUCCCUUACAUUACUUAUUAUUAUGUAAAAACCAGUAAAUGAGUGUUUUUGUUAUAUCUGUUUAUUUGUUGCUGUCUUUGUUGAUAGUAAUUCCUCGCUUAGGACUCUGUGUGAUAAUUAUUAAUGGAAUAAUUUGAGAGUAAAAACAGUCCACAUAUUCUUGCCACGAGGUGUUUCGUUCUGUAAGAUGGAAUUGGGCAAGAGGACCAGUUGCCUUGAACAUUCCACUAGCCCUCGAACAGCUAACUAGCCAUGAACUAGAGGGCAAGCCUUUAUUUCUGUUUUUUCAGUACACUGACUAUUCACAUUUGUUAUGAAACUAGUUUACUAGUGUUAUUUGACGUCUAACAUGUGACCAAGCUGCAUAGCCAUGACAGAUUAUCUAUAGUAGUAAGAAAGAUGUGGGUGGUCCUUUACUUCUAUUGAGCAUUAAGACAUUGAAUAAGUCAAUUUGUGAUAUUUUAAUAUGUUUAAUAUCUUAGUACUCAUUUUUCAAUCCCUCAAAUCAAAAUUGUCCUUGUAUUUGAUGUUUAUUUCCUGGUAUUAACAUAUUUACCACUUUUUCUACAAAUCAAAGAUUAGAAUAAUCAUAAGGCAGAAUAUUGCUGCAAGAGAUUGCAAAUCUACAUGCGGUAUUGAUACACACAGCAUACCUCUAGAGGCAACAACAAGAGCUGCUGAGGAGUUUCACCUUUCAUCACUGUUGUGAUACUACUUGUACUACUUUGGUGACCAGUGAAGAUCCGGGGUACGAUAGGUCUUCAGCAUCCCUGCUUGCCGUAAGAGGCGACU
Molecule: unclassified non-coding RNA, 2805 nt
Filed under: Haliotis rufescens (red abalone)
Lineage: Eukaryota; Metazoa; Mollusca; Gastropoda; Lepetellida; Haliotidae
Description: wD repeat-containing protein 5-like, transcript variant X2
Source: RNAcentral